RNAcentral lists this ribosomal RNA (499 nucleotides) under uncultured Glomeromycotina. RNAcentral's name for it is "partial small subunit ribosomal RNA". It matches the Rfam family "Eukaryotic small subunit ribosomal RNA", at positions 591 to 1092 of the family's 1831-position model. The record is from RNAcentral. Lineage: Eukaryota; Fungi; Glomeromycota.
CCAAUAGCGUAUAUUAAAGUUGCUGCAGUUAAAAAGCUCGUAGUUGAAUUUCGGGAUCAUCAUGUCGGUCGUGCCUCGGUACGUACUGGCAUCGUUGGUUUCUCCCUUCUGACGAACCAUGAUGUCAUUUAUUUGGUGUUGUGGGGAAUCAGGACUGUUACUUUGAAAAAAUUAUAGUGUUUAAAGCAGGCUCACGCUUGAAUACAUUAGCAUGGAAUAAUGAAAUAGGACGUUUGAUUCUAUUUUGUUGGUUUCUAGGAUCGACGUAAUGAUUAAUAGGGAUAGUUGGGGGCAUUAGUAUUCAAUUGUCAGAGGUGAAAUUCUUGGAUUUAUUGAAGACUAACUACUGCGAAAGCAUUUGCCAAGGAUGUUUUCAUUAAUCAAGAACGAAAGUUAGGGGAUCGAAGACGAUCAGAUACCGUCGUAGUCCUAACCAUAAACUAUGCCGACUAGGGAUCGGAUGAUGUUAAUUUUUUAAUGACUCAUUCGGCGCCUUACG